AAUCAACGCUGGCGGCGCGCCUAACACAUGCAAGUCGAACGAGAAAGCGGGGGCAACCUCGUGAGUAAAGUGGCGUACGGGUGAGUAACACGUGGGUAAUCUACCCUUGGGUGGGGAAUAACCCUGGGAAACCGGGGAUAAUACCGCAUAAUCCCGAGAGGGCAAAGGAGCAAUCCGCCUAAGGAGGAGCCCGCGGCCGAUUAGCUAGUUGGUGGGGUAAAAGCCCACCAAGGCAAAGAUCGGUAGCCGGCCUGAGAGGGCACACGGCCACACUGGCACUGAAACACGGGCCAGACUCCUACGGGAGGCAGCAGUGGGGAAUCUUGCACAAUGGGGGAAACCCUGAUGCAGCGACGCCGCGUGAGCGAUGAAGCCCUUCGGGGUGUAAAGCUCUUUCGGCAGGGACGAAAGAUGACGGUACCUGCAGAAGCAGCUGCGGCUAACUACGUGCCAGCAGCCGCGGUAAUACGUAGGCAGCAAGCGUUGUUCGGAGUUACUGGGCGUAAAGGGUGCGUAGGCGGUCCCUUAAGUUCGGUGUGAAAUCUCCCGGCUCAACUGGGAGGGUGCGCCGGAAACUGAGGGACUCGAGUGCGGGAGGGGAGAGCGGAAUUCCUGGUGUAGCGGUGAAAUGCGUAGAUAUCAGGAGGAACACCGGUGGUGCAGACGGCUCUCUGGACCGUAACUGACGCUGAGGCACGAAAGCGUGGGUAGCAAACAGGAUUAGAUACCCUGGUAGUCCACGCCCUAAACGAUGCAUGCUUGGUGCUGGUGAUUCAGUUCAUCGGUGCCGGAGCUAACGCGUUAAGCAUGCCGCCUGGGGAGUACAGUCGCAAGGCUG
This 838-nucleotide ribosomal RNA is filed under the name uncultured bacterium. RNAcentral's name for it is "bacterial SSU rRNA". It matches the Rfam family "Bacterial small subunit ribosomal RNA", at positions 28 to 896 of the family's 1533-position model. The record is from RNAcentral.